CGGACAGUGUCUGGUGGGUAGUUUGACUGGGGCGGUCUCCUCCUAAAGAGUAACGGAGGAGCACGAAGGUUGGCUAAUCCUGGUCGGACAUCAGGAGGUUAGUGCAAUGGCAUAAGCCAGCUUGACUGCGAGCGUGACGGCGCGAGCAGGUGCGAAAGCAGGUCAUAGUGAUCCGGUGGUUCUGAAUGGAAGGGCCAUCGCUCAACGGAUAAAAGGUACUCCGGGGAUAACAGGCUGAUACCGCCCAAGAGUUCAUAUCGACGGCGGUGUUUGGCACCUCGAUGUCGGCUCAUCACAUCCUGGGGCUGAAGUAGGUCCCAAGGGUAUGGCUGUUCGCCAUUUAAAGUGGUACGCGAGCUGGGUUUAGAACGUCGUGAGACAGUUCGGUCCCUAUCUGCCGUGGGCGCUGGAGAACUGAGGGGGGCUGCUCCUAGUACGAGAGGACCGGAGUGGACGCAUCACUGGUGUUCGGGUUGUCAUGCCAAUGGCACUGCCCGGUAGCUAAAUGCGGAAGAGAUAAGUGCUGAAAGCAUCUAAGCACGAAACUUGCCCCGAGAUGAGUUCUCCCUGAGACUUAGAGUCUCCUGAAGGAACGUUGAAGACGACGACGUUGAUAGGCCGGGUGUGUAAGCGCAGCGAUGCGUUGAGCUAACCGGUACUAAUGAACCGUGAGGCUUAACCUUACAAC
Molecule: ribosomal RNA, 688 nt
Filed under: Salmonella enterica subsp. enterica serovar Newport
Lineage: Bacteria; Pseudomonadati; Pseudomonadota; Gammaproteobacteria; Enterobacterales; Enterobacteriaceae
Description: partial 23S ribosomal RNA
Rfam family: Bacterial large subunit ribosomal RNA
Source: RNAcentral